UCUGUGGCCAUACCCUCCUAGACACACCUAAUUUUGUCUCAAUUCAAAAGCUAAGUAGGGUUGGUCCUGGUUAGUACUUGGAUGAGAAAGAAUGUAGCCUUGCACGGGUGAUCCGGAGGCUUCCAGAG
Molecule: ribosomal RNA, 128 nt
Filed under: Peromyscus maniculatus bairdii (prairie deer mouse)
Lineage: Eukaryota; Metazoa; Chordata; Mammalia; Rodentia; Cricetidae
Source: RNAcentral